AAAGGAUAUCUAAUCGAGAGAUUAAAUUAAAGAGAGAUUCCCUACAAUAGUGAGAUACUCUAUAUGCUCUUUUUGAAUAAAACAAAGCUUCAGGAUUUUCCAGGUCCUCCUUAAUGAGAUUGAUAGCUACUCAAACAAAAUUGACUAUUUACAUAUGAAAAAUUAAAUGAAUCUUCACUAUCUAGGCUGUAACACAUAGUUGGAGGGACAACCUAGUAUAUGUCUUUGGGUACAUGUAUCUUGGGACAGAUGCCAUUGUUGUUCAUCUGUCUUUUCAAAGAAGACCAAUAACAUCAUGAUGUGAUUUCUUGACUUGUCCAUGAUUUGAAUUUAAGUGAAGCAGAGUUACACAAAAUCACUAGCCUUAUUUUCUAUUCCAGAGACAUGUUAGGAUAACUGGUAAUGACCAAGGAUGCAAUCGAUGACUUUGGGACAGUGGAUAGCCUUGAUGUCUUUGAUGUCUAACCAAGCGAUCUUAAAAGGAUGAAAGAUUUAAAGGCUGGGUAAACUCUGAUCUAUUGGAGAAAUUAGAAGAAGCCAGCAUGCUCUGCAGAAAUGUUGGAUUAUAGCCACAUGAGGAAAGAGUCUGUUGACAUCUUCCUGUGCUGAGGGAGCCUGGAAUAUGAUAUUCUGGGAGGCAAAGGAGAUAGGAGAUAAUCAAGAAUUAUCUAUCCAGCAAAAGCUCUGCAACCUAUUUUUCUAGUGGAAUAACCUGGGGAAUAUGUUUCUGAAAGUCUUGAAGGUGAAAAACAAAAAGUCUUUGUAACAACAGAAAGAGAAAUAAAAAAUCAAAUGAACAU
RNAcentral lists this long non-coding RNA (800 nucleotides) under Monodelphis domestica (gray short-tailed opossum). RNAcentral describes it as "lncRNA (ENSMODG00000050345.1)". Lineage: Eukaryota; Metazoa; Chordata; Mammalia; Didelphimorphia; Didelphidae. The record is from RNAcentral.